AUCUACCUAGUAGUACGGAAUAGUCAUUAGAAAUGGUGGGUAAUACUGUAUAAUCCCCGAGGGGGAAAGAUUUAUCGCUAUUAGAUGAGCCUACGUUAGAUUAGCUAGUUGGUGAGGUAAUGGCUUACCAAGGCUAUGAUCUAUAGCUGGUCUGAGAGGACGAUCAGCCACACUGGAACUGAGAUACGGUCCAGACUCCUACGGGAGGCAGCAGUGGGGAAUAUUGGACAAUGGGCGAAAGCCUGAUCCAGCUAUGCCGCGUGAGUGAAGAAG
This 273-nucleotide ribosomal RNA is filed under the name uncultured bacterium. Its description in RNAcentral is "partial 16S ribosomal RNA". It matches the Rfam family "Bacterial small subunit ribosomal RNA", at positions 124 to 413 of the family's 1533-position model. The record is from RNAcentral.